Molecule: long non-coding RNA, 880 nt
Filed under: Nicotiana tabacum (common tobacco)
Lineage: Eukaryota; Viridiplantae; Streptophyta; Magnoliopsida; Solanales; Solanaceae
Description: long non-coding RNA (NTAB_LNC013886)
Source: RNAcentral
CUAGGUGAGACAAGUAAACAAGUAGACUACAACUGCACUUGGAACUUGUAGACCUUCGCUUACGCCAAAAGUAUCCAUAAAACAACAUAUAAAUUGAACAUCUCUAAAGUAAUUUAACAUUUUUUACACGCUUUAAAGUGGAAAAACUUGAAAUUGUUUGCAAUUUUGCAUCAAAAGGUAUCACGGCAAACUUGGAAAACAGCUUCACCCAUGAUUGUUGAGCCAAUUACCACAUGUAGGUCAAAACUGCAUGGUCUUGUUUAUGUUAACCCCGAAAAACUUUAGCAGCAGAUCAACAUUGUAAUAAUUAAUUCUUUUCUUGGAACUCUUAGAAGUUAAAAAGAAGAAACAACAUAUUUAUGGAUGUAAACACUUUUGGUGCAAGGAAGAUUCAAGAGGUAUAUUGGCAUUCAAUCUUUGACAAUAUAGCACUAACCUUAUCAGCAGGACCUUUAGCACCUCCUAUGAAUAUUUCAGCACUGCAAAUUAUGCCGCCAUGAACGGGCCUCGAUCGGCGACGACCUCGAAAUCAAUCGAACUCCAUCAGUAGCGAGAAUCGAAUAGAGGUCGAAGUUCUCUGUAUGAACAAACUCCAAUAUUCAAUUUCUAAAGUCAAUCACGAAAUCUGAAGAGCCCAACUAAUCGUCUUCUCCAAGAGUGAGUUUAGGGGUCAUUGGUGAGGGAGAUGGCUGGAGAUCGAUGGUCUCUUAGGGUGUGUUUGGUUGUCCAGGAGCUGAACGGUGGAGGGCUGCUGUGUUCCGCAGCUGAUUUUGGUUGCUUGGGGUGUGGAUGAGAUGAGGAGUUCUAUUGUUUUUUCUUGUCCAUGGUGAAAGGGGUGGGUGUUUGAUCGAAGAAGAAAACAAAACCGAUGGGGAAGGGG